RNAcentral lists this ribosomal RNA (505 nucleotides) under uncultured bacterium. Its description in RNAcentral is "partial 16S ribosomal RNA". It matches the Rfam family "Bacterial small subunit ribosomal RNA", at positions 28 to 507 of the family's 1533-position model. The record is from RNAcentral.
GACGAACGCUGGCGGCGUGCCUAAUACAUGCAAGUAGAACGCACAGUUUAUACCGUAGCUUGCUACACCAUAGACUGUGAGUUGCGAACGGGUGAGUGACGCGUAGGUAACCUGCCUGGUAGCGGGGGAUAACUAUUGGAAACGAUAGCUAUUACCGCAUAAUAUUAAUUAUUGCAUGAUAAUUAAUUGAAAGGUGCAAUUGCACCACUACCAGAUGGACCUGCGUUGUAUUAGCUAGUAGGUGAGGUAACGGCUCACCUAGGCGACGAUACAUAGCCGACCUGAGAGGGUGAUCGGCCACACUGGGACUGAGACACGGCCCAGACUCCUACGGGAGGCAGCAGUAGGGAAUCUUCGGCAAUGGACGAAAGUCUGACCGAGCAACGACGCGUGAGUGAAGAAGGUUGUCGGAUCGUAAAGCUCUGUUGUAAGAGAAGAACGGGUGUGAGAGUGGAAAGUUCACAAUGUGACGGUAUCUUACCAGAAAGGGACGGCUAACUACGUG